CAUAUAUCAACAUCACAUUCUACCCCAUAUAACAUAUACAAUAUUUGUGAAUAAAAAACAAAAUAAUUUUUUAAAAAUACAGAAAAAGCAGGAGGGGAGGGGAUCAGUGUGUUAUUAGGUCCAAUCUAAGGAACUCUGCUGUCCCAGGAGUUAGCAUGUUCAGUGAGAAAAUCACAGAUCUUGAAAUCCAACAGACCAGUGUUCAAAUCAUGAUUCAGUCAUUAAAAAAAAAAAUCCGGGGUAUCAGUGACCCCCACUUUGUCCCCUGGGCCUAAGCUGGAGCUGCCAAUGGAUGUUUGUCGAAGUCACUCUCAGUGAGGACUUGGUCCCAGCAACCGCUGCCCAUACCUGGGUCUCCUGGGGAAGGUCCCACCCUCGUUCCUGAACUCCACGCCCAGAGGAUCUUGGCCCAGGAGAGGAAAGCAGAGACCCAGGCCCGACCUUGUCAAAACCAAAAUGAGCACCACCCAGUCCUGUUUUGCUUUAGUCAUGUCUUCUGUGACAUGGUUGCACUGAAGUCUGAUUGGACAACGUGUCAUUCGUUGCUACCCCGGGGAGCCUGGCAUUUGGGGGCGUGGGGCGGGUUUGGCAUAACAUCCCGAUUUGCUGGAAGGCUGCUGUGCGGACUGAGAGAGAGCACUACUCACCGAAACACCCCUGUUCUCCCGUCUUCCAGGUAUGCGGUAGGAUCUCCCUUCCCACCCCACUGUGUGCGGGGGCCCGUGUGACAGUCUCUGUCCAGCAGGUGACUGCUGGAAGCCGCGGGAGUCACUUCGGAGUGGGGUGUUGACAGCGUGAAGCCCCUGAGCGCUCCUCCCCGCUCGGCCAUCCAGCAUUCGCGCCGGGGGCUCCGAGCGACUCCAGUCAACAGAGCUCCGCGGGGACCCAGGUGGACACGCAAUCCCAUGAUAAAUUACCCUGUGUCGUUAAUGCCGUUGAGAUUUGGGGGUUGCUUGUGAUUACGGCAUAACCCUGCCUCCUCAGGGGACACACUUAGAUGCUAAAACAUGGCACGCCACGUUCCCGGGGUGAUGCCUGAGUGAGAAAAUGCCUUUCUCUCCAUGAUGCGGCCAGAAAGCACUUCAGAGACCUUGAGUUCCAAUCUGUGCUUCGAGAAAAGGGCCAUAUCCAACUGGGGGUGAAUGCUGUUCAGAUCUGUGCAAAAUAAUCGAGGCUACACUUCCCACAGGGCUUGAGCUCAUGGACAUUGAAGAACCAGCAUUUCCCUUCAUCGGGCUCAUUUUAAAUCCCACGCUGCAUCCUCCAUGGCCCCCACCCACGCGAGAGCCUGCCCCUCCAGAGUUCUGCAGUGACAACCACGUGACUCCCUCCCCGGUGAUGCUGCUGUGGUGCGAUCUUGGCUCACUGGGGGGUGAUGCUACUGGUGACGGUUUCUCCCAGUGCCAAGGGUCGGCACCCCAGACCGCAGCUACGUUCAGGCACUCGGCAGGGGCUGGUUCUCUGAGGGAGGCCCUGGAAGGCCAGGGCUUAUCAAAGACAGGGUGGGGCUGGCACUGUGGUGCUAAGAUGAGGGGCAGCUGUGGGUGUGUGCGCCUUCUCAGACAGGUUCAUCUCUGCACCCCGUGGGUACAUGCUCCUUCUCAGUUGGGUUCAUCGUUGCACCCCGUGGGUACAUGCACCUUCUCAGACAGGGGUUCAUCUCUGCACCCCGUGGGUACAUGCGCCUUCUCAGAGGUUCAUCUAUGCACCCCCGUGGGUACAUGCGCCUUCUCAGACAGGGGUUCAUCUCUGCACCCUGUGGGUACAUGCGCCUUCUCAGAGGUUCAUCUCUGCACCCCCGUGGGUACAUGCGCCUUCUCAGACAGGGGUUCAUCUCUGCACCCCGUGGGUACAUGCGCCUUCUCAGACAGGGGUUCAUCUCUGCACCCCUUGGGUACAUGCGCCUUCUCAGACAGGGGUUCAUCUCUGCACCCUAUGGGUACAUGCACCUUCUCAGACAGGGGUUCAUCUCUGCACCCCGUGGGUACAUGCGCCUUCUCAGACAGGUUCAUCUCUGCACCCCCGUGGGUACAUGCGCCUUCUCAGACAGGGGUUCAUC
Molecule: long non-coding RNA, 2059 nt
Filed under: Pan troglodytes (chimpanzee)
Lineage: Eukaryota; Metazoa; Chordata; Mammalia; Primates; Hominidae
Description: long non-coding RNA NONPTRT004188
Source: RNAcentral